GCCUGGCUGGCUCAGUUGGUAGAGCACAUGACUCUUGAUCUUAAGGUCACAAGCUUGAUCCCCGUGCUGGGUG
Molecule: transfer RNA, 73 nt
Filed under: Ailuropoda melanoleuca (giant panda)
Lineage: Eukaryota; Metazoa; Chordata; Mammalia; Carnivora; Ursidae
Rfam family: tRNA
About the family: Transfer RNA (tRNA) molecules are approximately 80 nucleotides in length. Their secondary structure includes four short double-helical elements and three loops (D, anti-codon, and T loops).
Source: Rfam by way of RNAcentral